UCCGGCACUCUCCGCCUCGGCCCCGCCGGCCAGCCCAAGACUAUCAAAACCACUCAACUCCGCUCCAGCCCUCGCCGCUCUUCCCUCUACUUCGUCGACCUGGUCGGUAUCCGCGUCGGCCGCAAGGUGGUCGACAUCCCACCGGCGGCGAUCGCCUUCGACGCGGCCACCGGCGCGGGGACCAUCUUCGACUCGGGCACCAUGUUCACCCGCCUGGUGGCGCCGGCGUACGCGGCGCUGCGGGACGAGUUCCGGCGCCAGGUGCGGGGCGCCGGCAACGCG
This 282-nucleotide long non-coding RNA is filed under the name Phoenix dactylifera (date palm). RNAcentral's name for it is "long non-coding RNA (PDAC_LNC004134)". Lineage: Eukaryota; Viridiplantae; Streptophyta; Magnoliopsida; Arecales; Arecaceae. The record is from RNAcentral.